This 454-nucleotide long non-coding RNA is filed under the name Zonotrichia albicollis (white-throated sparrow). RNAcentral describes it as "lncRNA (ENSZALG00000000645.1)". Lineage: Eukaryota; Metazoa; Chordata; Aves; Passeriformes; Passerellidae. The record is from RNAcentral.
CCAUCAGCUCAAUGACAUCAUCACCCUCACAGUCCAUCCGUCCAAUCAUCUCCAUGGCCACUCAUGGUCCAUCUGUCCAAUAUCCGUGUCCAACAGAGUUCCAGAACAUUCUGAGGGUCCCACCAGCUCAAUGGCAUCAUCACCCUCAUGGUCCAUCUGUCCAAUCCCUGUGUCCAAAGAAGUUCCAGAACAUUCCGGGGGUCCCAUCAGAUUCUCACCCUCAUUGUCCAGCCCUCCAAUCAUCUCCAUGGCCACUCAUGGUCCAUCCAUCCAAUCCCUGUUCUAGAACAUUCUGGGGUCCCACCAGGUCAGUGACAUCAUCACCCCCAUGGUCCAACCCUCUGAGCAUCUCCAUGGCCACUCACGGUCCAUCUGUCCAUCCAAUCAUCUCCAUGGCCACUCAUGGUCCGUCCGUCCAAUCAUCUCCAUGGCCACUCAUGGUCCAUGUGUCCAU